UCUUUCCAAACCCUUAAACCUAAUGCAAGGCGUACAAGAACAAAUUGCUUCCCAUUCAUAAGGUAAUCCUUAGUGUUCUUCUAUAUUCCGAUCUUAUGUGCUGGGGGUAAUGGGAAGUGCUGUAUAAAGGUUUGCAGAAGAUUAUGAUUAACUGGGACGGGAGGUUCUAACUGCUAAAUGAUAGAUUGUUCCUGAGCUUGGUUGAUAUAAAAGGUUGAAUCACAGAUUGAGUUCCCAGAUUCGCACCAUCCGUUCCAAGUGCUGGUGAAGGUGGUAGUCAAGGAAAUUUUUGGUGAUGUUGUCUAUCGAUCAGAUGCACUAUCAUGGUUUCUGCUGAAGUAGAUAAACUCCGGUGAUGAGGUUGUUUUGAUAUUCAGAGAAACAACUGGUGGCAGUGAAGGUGGACCUGGUGAAUAAUGGUGAUAAGAAGAUGCGUAUCUUUACUCCAAAGAUUACUUUUGAGUAAAAUCACCUAGCGUCACACUAUACUACCUACCACUGAUCAGAGGCAAGACUUCUCAAGAGCUAGAGUAAGAGGAUUUGGAAAGAUAAAAAUUCAAGUCUAGGCCAUAUUAAAAUGAAAAGGAGAAAAAAUUUGUGGAUGAAAUUUUUGCUGAAGCAGUAUCAAGAAGGAAGAGCAAGGAUUCUUAAGGCUACUCCAUUCCCGUAUAUCGCAUACUACCCAGUGGCGAAGAAUCGGCUAAACAGACUGCCAAUAAGAAAAGGAGAAAAAAUUUGUGGAUGAAAUUUUUGCUGAAGCAGUAUCAAGAAGGAAGAGCAAGGAUUCUUAAGGCUACUCCAUUCCCGUAUAUCACAUACUACCCAGUGGCGAAGAAUCAGCUAAACAGACUGCCAAUAAGGUGGUAUAGGGAGCAGGCGGAUAGUCCCCGAAACACAGGUAAAAGCACCAUAUCCCCGGAACUGCGUUCUCCUUCGUA
Molecule: long non-coding RNA, 938 nt
Organism: Papaver somniferum (opium poppy)
Lineage: Eukaryota; Viridiplantae; Streptophyta; Magnoliopsida; Ranunculales; Papaveraceae
Exons: 8
Source: RefSeq, a predicted model, not a curated record